This 496-nucleotide ribosomal RNA is filed under the name uncultured bacterium. Its description in RNAcentral is "partial 16S ribosomal RNA". It matches the Rfam family "Bacterial small subunit ribosomal RNA", at positions 29 to 507 of the family's 1533-position model. The record is from RNAcentral.
AUGCACGCUGGCGGCGUGCCUAAUACAUGCCAGUCGAGCGAACAGACGAGGAGCUUGCUCCUCUGACGUUAGCGGCGGACGGGUGAGUAACACGUGGAUAACCUACCUAUAAGACUGGGAUAACUUCGGGAAACCGGAGCUAAUACCGGAUAAUAUAUUGAACCGCAUGGUUCAAUAGUGAAAGACGGUUUUGCUGUCACUUAUAGAUGGAUCCGCGCCGCAUUAGCUAGUUGGUAAGGUAACGGCUUACCAAGGCAACGAUGCGUAGCCGACCUGAGAGGGUGAUCGGGCACACUGGAACUGAGAAACGGUCCAGACUCCUAAGGGAGGGAGCAGUAGGGAAUCUUCCGCAAAGGGCGGAAGCCUGACGGGGCAACGCCGCGUGAGUGAUGAAGGUCUUCGGAUCGUAAAACUCUGUUAUUAGGGAAGAACAAAUGUGUAAGUAACUAUGCACGUCUUGACGGUACCUAAUCAGAAAGCCACGGCUAACUACGUG